Aromia moschata is the source of this 68-nucleotide non-coding RNA. NCBI's taxonomy places the organism in Eukaryota, Metazoa, Arthropoda, Insecta, Coleoptera, Cerambycidae. The record is from the annotation of a GenBank genome assembly.
GCGGCGAUAGCUCAGUGGGUAAAGCGCCAGGUGAGAAAUCCGGUCGGGUUCGAAUCCCGCCUGUGGCA